ACUGUUUACCAAAGACAUAGCUCUACUACAUACAUGUAGAGUGAUACCUGCUCCAUGGCUACAAAUAAACAAUAAUAGUAGUUAAAUAGCCGCGGUAACUCUGACCGUGAUAAAGUAGCAUAAUCACUGUCAUUUAAUUGGUGACUGGAAUGAAUGGUUUUACGAAUUUCCAACUGUCUCAGUAAUAAAAUUAAUGAAAUUAAACUAAUAGUGAAGAUGCUAUUUAUAAAUUGUAAGACGAAAAGANCCUAUCGAGCUUUACUAAAUGCUUAAAUAANCAAAUACUGCAAAAUAUUUUAGGACAAAAAUAUUUAAGCUAAUUAGUUUGGUUGGGGCGACCACCUCUAAAAAAGUAUCAGAGGAGAUCUAAUGGUUGAUACUAAUAUAAAAAGCCUAACUGUAUAUAAAUGCAUUAAUCAGUUACAACAAGUAGGAUAUAAUGACCUGUUGGGACUAUCUAAAUACCUAACGACUACAAAAAAGUUACCGUAGGGAUAACAGGGUAAUAUUCUCGAAGAGUUCUUAUCGAUGAGAAUGUUUGCCACCUCGAUGUUGAAUUAUGAUACCCUAAAGGUGCAAAGCUUUUAAGGGUUGGUCUGUUCGACCAAUAAUAUCAUACAUGAUUUGAGUUCAUUCCGUCGCAAGACAGAAGGUUUCUAUCUC
RNAcentral lists this ribosomal RNA (663 nucleotides) under Cassiopea andromeda. RNAcentral describes it as "partial large subunit ribosomal RNA". It matches the Rfam family "Bacterial large subunit ribosomal RNA", at positions 1799 to 2644 of the family's 2925-position model. The record is from RNAcentral. Lineage: Eukaryota; Metazoa; Cnidaria; Scyphozoa; Rhizostomeae; Cassiopeidae.